Molecule: unclassified non-coding RNA, 1195 nt
Filed under: Hevea brasiliensis (rubber tree)
Lineage: Eukaryota; Viridiplantae; Streptophyta; Magnoliopsida; Malpighiales; Euphorbiaceae
Source: RNAcentral
CUUCUUUCUUCUCAUCUUUGACCCGAUCAUUUAAAGGUCCUUCUUCACUUCUCCUUCAUUUCUUCGUCAACCAACCCUUACUGCUGCCCUCUCUCACUCCAGCAUCCAUCGAUGAGCUCGUUGUGGUUGUUCGACAUCGUUCCUCCUAAAUGGCUAAGACAUGCAAAAUGUGAAGCUAUCGACGUACUACUUACGUCGAGAUCUUUGUAUAGAGACGAACUAUGACAAUUUUCAUUAUAGGAAAAUAUUUGGGACCCAUGACCUUUCGAUUGAGUUUUCAAACCCUGGCUAUAAUCUUUUUGAUAAAAUAAAAAUAGAUGCUUACUUAUCUCAUUGUCGUCUUGUGUAGGUACCCCAUUUUGGGGAAAUUCUAUUGGUGCCCAAGACUACAUUUUUCCACCUGAACACAAGGGGUCGGAUUGACUUUGGAAGGCGCCCAACAUUAAGUUGUUUCCCACAUUUUUGGGUGCCUCGGAUGUAUUUUGGGUAGUAGAAUUCAGAAAGUGGAAAAGAAUACCGGAACAGAACCCGAGGAGUCGAGUCAAGGCCAACAGGCGACUCGUUUGAGAUACAGAGACUAGAGGAGCAGCAGACUGAGCUGCUGAGGUGUGAGGAGCUACCAGCCUAAAGUCUUCGGGUAUAAUUUGUACCCUAACUGUAAAUAUUUCUUUUGAUGUAUAUAUUGCACAUAAAUGUAUGGACAUGUAAAAAAAUGGGUCUUGAGCAAUUUGUAUAAAAUUCGUAUAAAGUUGUAAUAUAUAUUGUAGUUUGAAAUUCUCUUAAUGUAAAUUUUGUAAUGAUGUAUCUAAAUUGUUUUGUUUCUAAUGAAAUAUGAAUGGAACUAUUUUAUUUAAUUUGAAUGAAAUGGAUUGUUAGUAUUUUGAUGAUCAUUGGAUAGUGGAUUUGAAAUUUGAAAGUUAAUAAAUGUGUUGAGAAAUUGAUUGAGAUUGAGUAUUAAAUUGAAGCAGCUGUUGAGAAAAAUUUUUAGAAGUGCUUUUUACAGGUAUUUGAAGAACUGUUUUUCCCAAAUAUAGACGGUACUCUGCCGAAAUUUUUCUAAAAUUUGCGGACAAAUAAAAAUGAACAAAAAUUUUAACUAACUUUUAAACUUCUAUUAAAUGUAAGAAAAUGCUCACCACUUCCAAAAAAUAAGAAAAUGGUUUUUAAAAUUCCUUGUAGGGUACUUAAUGAGUUA